AUAUAUAUAUAUAAUUAAGCUCCUAUGCUUUUAAAAGUACAAAGUUAUUUGUGCUUGUAAAUUUUUAGCCAUUGGAUUAAGAAAUAUGCGAUUAAAAUGAUAUGGGUCCCCUAGGGUUGAGUGGAUAAUUGAUUGAAUAGUAUAAUCUAACGGGUGAAAAUGAUCAAAAUGUAGAUCUAACGGCACAAAAUUUAAAAAUGCCUUUUUGAGAAAUCUA
RNAcentral lists this long non-coding RNA (217 nucleotides) under Ananas comosus (pineapple). Its description in RNAcentral is "long non-coding RNA (ACOM_LNC044363)". Lineage: Eukaryota; Viridiplantae; Streptophyta; Magnoliopsida; Poales; Bromeliaceae. The record is from RNAcentral.